UACCAGCACCCCGAGUGGUCGGGACGAUUAUUGGGCCUAAAGCAUCCGUAGCCGGUCAUGCAAGUCUUCCGUUAAAUCCACCUGCUUAACAGAUGGGCUGCGGAAGAUACUAUAGAGCUAGGAGGCGGGAGAGGCAAGCGGUACUCGAUGGGUAGGGGUAAAAUCCGUUGAUCCAUUGAAGACCACCAGUGGCGAAGGCGGCUUGCCAGAACGCGCUCGACGGUGAGGGAUGAAAGCUGGGGGAGCAAACCGG
Molecule: ribosomal RNA, 253 nt
Filed under: uncultured bacterium
Lineage: Bacteria
Description: partial 16S ribosomal RNA
Rfam family: Archaeal small subunit ribosomal RNA
Source: RNAcentral